Unclassified non-coding RNA from Fukomys damarensis (Damara mole-rat), 322 nucleotides. Its record names the gene 7SK. It matches the Rfam family "7SK RNA". Rfam says of the family: 7SK was discovered as an abundant small nuclear RNA in the mid-70s but a possible function has only recently been suggested. Two independent studies have found that 7SK RNA binds the CDK9/cyclin T complex (known as elongation factor P-TEFb). P-TEFb activates transcription by phosphorylating the C-terminal domain of RNA polymerase II. NCBI's taxonomy places the organism in Eukaryota, Metazoa, Chordata, Mammalia, Rodentia, Bathyergidae. The record is from Ensembl.
GGAUGUGAGGGUGAUCUGGCUGCGACAUCUGUCACCCCAUUGAUCGCCAGGGUUGAUUCGGCUGAUCUGGCUGGCUAGGCGGGCGUUCCUUCCUCCCUCACUCCUCCAUGUGAGUCCCUCCUGAAGCCGAGUGCUCUGUUUAAGAGGAGGAUCACCCGCGAUAGAGGAGGAUCGUUUCCUUGGUCAGGGGUAUACAAGGAGCUGUGCUCCCCUGCUAGAACCUUCAAACAAGCUCUCAAGAUUAUAAAAAAAAUGGCAAUGGUUAACAAUAAUUUUAUGAUUGGGCCCGGGCUUUAGCUCAGUGGUGCCGCCGCCUGCCUUG